ACCAUGUUACCCCCCCCCCCCUCUCUCUCUCUCUCUCUCUCUCUCUUUCUCUCUUCAUUGUCUUCAUCAACGAAAGCAGUAAGUUUGCAGGUGAAGAACCUUUUUGCCAGGUUGUGUUCAACCAUUUGAGGCAAAGGCAUUAAAUGCCUUCAUCUUCUUUCCUCUCCGCUACCGUGAAACCACCAUGGAAAUGUUGUGGGUGAAGGAGUUUGAAGAAUCUUCAAAUCCAAUACUCGAUUUAGGCAGCACACGAGAAAGCCUUAGGCCACUUGGGCCGUCUCUUGCAUUAAACCUUGUUGGGCUAGAGGUGAAACCUCAUUCUUUUAUCGAGUCUGAGGAGAAUAAACAAGGGAAGCAAAUAUAUUGAAGGCCCAAUCAUGGGUGAAAAUGGUUAUUGGUGGGCUUUGAUAGAACCACCAAACAAAAUUCUCAUCCCUCUAUCUCCCUUUAUUUAUAUGUAUAUUUGUGUUGUAUAUGUAAAUAAAUCUGUAGUAUAUUGUAACCUAUGCUAGAACUUAGGAAAAACACAUAGUAUUAGGAAAUCGUCAAACUAUUUUCAAAUUCGGAUAAUGAUCAACCUUUUGUUUUGCGAAAAUCAAAA
Long non-coding RNA from Lycium barbarum (goji berry), 601 nucleotides. RefSeq lists it as uncharacterized. The transcript is spliced from 3 exons. NCBI's taxonomy places the organism in Eukaryota, Viridiplantae, Streptophyta, Magnoliopsida, Solanales, Solanaceae. The record is from RefSeq and is a predicted model, not a curated record.